RNAcentral lists this ribosomal RNA (274 nucleotides) under uncultured bacterium. RNAcentral describes it as "partial 16S ribosomal RNA". It matches the Rfam family "Bacterial small subunit ribosomal RNA", at positions 523 to 796 of the family's 1533-position model. The record is from RNAcentral.
AUACGGAGGGAGCGAGCGUUAAUCGGAAUUACUGGGCGUAAAGCGCGCGUAGGCGGCUUUGUAAGUCGGAUGUGAAAGCCCUGGGCUCAACCUGGGAAUUGCAUUCGAUACUGCAUGGCUAGAGUAUGGUAGAGGGAAGUGGAAUUUCCGGUGUAGCGGUGAAAUGCGUAGAUAUCGGAAGGAACACCGGUGGCGAAGGCGACUUCCUGGACCAAUACUGACGCUGAGGUGCGAAAGCGUGGGGAGCAAACAGGAUUAGAAACCCCGGUAGUCC